RNAcentral lists this transfer RNA (67 nucleotides) under Crassostrea tulipa. RNAcentral describes it as "tRNA-Arg". Lineage: Eukaryota; Metazoa; Mollusca; Bivalvia; Ostreida; Ostreidae. The record is from RNAcentral.
UAGUAAGAAGUGAAAAAUUCACGUUUGGUUUCGGCCCGAAUGGUGCCGUAAGAUGCGGCCUUGCUAU